CCUGGCUAGUGGCAUAUGCCUGUAAUCCCUACUCCUGGGAAGGCUGAGGCUGGCAGAUCUUUUGAGCUUGGAAGUUCUGAACUGCAGAGGGCUGGCUAUGCUGAUUAGAUAUCCAAAAUGAGUUUAGCAUUAACAUGAUGGGCCCCCUGGGAGUGGGAGGUUACCAGGUUGCCUAAGGAGAGGCAAACCAGCCAAGGAUGGAAACAGAGCAGGUCAAAACAACUGAGCUGAUCAGGGUGGGACUCAGCCUGUGAAUGGUCCCUGUACUUCCAGCCUUUAAAAAAAAAAAGGAAAGAA
Vombatus ursinus (common wombat) is the source of this 297-nucleotide unclassified non-coding RNA. It matches the Rfam family "Metazoan signal recognition particle RNA". Rfam says of the family: The signal recognition particle (SRP) is a universally conserved ribonucleoprotein. It is involved in the co-translational targeting of proteins to membranes. NCBI's taxonomy places the organism in Eukaryota, Metazoa, Chordata, Mammalia, Diprotodontia, Vombatidae. The record is from Ensembl.